UUAAGCGACUAAGCGUACACGGUGGAUGCCCUGGCAGUCAGAGGCGAUGAAGGACGUGCUAAUCUGCGAAAAGCGUCGGUAAGGUGAUAUGAACCGUUACAGCCGGCGAUGUCCGAAUGGGGAAACCCAGUGCAAUUCGUUGCACUAUCGUUAACUGAAUACAUAGGUUAACGAGGCGAACCGGGGGAACUGAAACAUCUAAGUACCCCGAGGAAAAGAAAUCAACCGAGAUUCCCCCAGUAGCGGCGAGCGAACGGGGAGCAGCCCAGAGUCUGAAUCAGCUUGUGUGUUAGUGGAACGGUCUGGAAAGUCCGACGGUACAGGGUGAUAGUCCCGUACACCAAAAUGCACAGGUUGUGAACUCGAAGAGUAGGGCGGGACACGUGGUAUCCUGUCUGAAUAUGGGGGGACCAUCCUCCAAGGCUAAAUACUCCUGACUGACCGAUAGUGAACCAGUACCGUGAGGGAAAGGCGAAAAGAACCCCGGCGAGGGGAGUGAAAAAGAACCUGAAACCGUGUACGUACAAGCAGUGGGAGCACCUUCGGGUGUGACUGCGUACCUUUUGUAUAAUGGGUCAGCGACUUAUAUUCUGUAGCAAGGUUAACCGUAUAGGGGAGCCGCAGGGAAACCGAGUCUUAACUGGGCGUUAAGUUGCAGGGUAUAGACCCGAAACCCGGUGAUCUAGCCAUGGGCAGGUUGAAGGUUGGGUAACACUAACUGGAGGACCGAACCGACUAAUGUUGAAAAAUUAGCGGAUGACUUGUGGCUGGGGGUGAAAGGCCAAUCAAACCGGGAGAUAGCUGGUUCUCCCCGAAAGCUAUUUAGGUAGCGCCUCGUGAACUCAUCUUCGGGGGUAGAGCACUGUUUCGGCUAGGGGGUCAUCCCGACUUACCAACCCGAUGCAAACUACGAAUACCGAAGAAUGUUAUCACGGGAGACACACGGCGGGUGCUAACGUCCGUCGUGAAGAGGGAAACAACCCAGACCGCCAGCUAAGGUCCCAAAGUCAUGGUUAAGUGGGAAACGAUGUGGGAAGGCACAGACAGCCAGGAUGUUGGCUUAGAAGCAGCCAUCAUUUAAAGAAAGCGUAAUAGCUCACUGGUCGAGUCGGCCUGCGCGGAAGAUGUAACGGGGCUAAACCAUGCACCGAAGCUGCGGCAGCGACACUAUGUGUUGUUGGGUAGGGGAGCGUUCUGUAAGCCUGCGAAGGUGACCUGUGAGGGUUGCUGGAGGUAUCAGAAGUGCGAAUGCUGACAUAAGUAACGAUAAAGCGGGUGAAAAGCCCGCUCGCCGGAAGACCAAGGGUUCCUGUCCAACGUUAAUCGGGGCAGGGUGAGUCGACCCCUAAGGCGAGGCCGAAAGGCGUAGUCGAUGGGAAACAGGUUAAUAUUCCUGUACUUGGUGUUACUGCGAAGGGGGGACGGAGAAGGCUAUGUUAGCCGGGCGACGGUUGUCCCGGUUUAAGCAUGUAGGCGGAGGUUCCAGGUAAAUCCGGUACCUUUUAACGCUGAGGUGUGAUGACGAGGCACUACGGUGCUGAAGUAACAAAUGCCCUGCUUCCAGGAAAAGCCUCUAAGCAUCAGGUAACAUUAAAUCGUACCCCAAACCGACACAGGUGGUCAGGUAGAGAAUACCAAGGCGCUUGAGAGAACUCGGGUGAAGGAACUAGGCAAAAUGGUGCCGUAACUUCGGGAGAAGGCACGCUGGUGUGUAGGUGAAGUCCCUGCGGAUGGAGCUGAGACCAGUCGAAGAUACCAGCUGGCUGCAACUGUUUAUUAAAAACACAGCACUGUGCAAACACGAAAGUGGACGUAUACGGUGUGACGCCUGCCCGGUGCCGGAAGGUUAAUUGAUGGGGUUAUCCGUAAGGAGAAGCUCUUGAUCGAAGCCCCGGUAAACGGCGGCCGUAACUAUAACGGUCCUAAGGUAGCGAAAUUCCUUGUCGGGUAAGUUCCGACCUGCACGAAUGGCGUAAUGAUGGCCAGGCUGUCUCCACCCGAGACUCAGUGAAAUUGAACUCGCUGUGAAGAUGCAGUGUACCCGCGGCAAGACGGAAAGACCCCGUGAACCUUUACUAUAGCUUGACACUGAACAUUGAGCCUUGAUGUGUAGGAUAGGUGGGAGGCUUUGAAGCGUGGACGCCAGUCUGCGUGGAGCCAACCUUGAAAUACCACCCUUUAAUGUUUGAUGUUCUAACGUUGGCCCGUAAUCCGGGUUGCGGACAGUGUCUGGUGGGUAGUUUGACUGGGGCGGUCUCCUCCCAAAGAGUAACGGAGGAGCACGAAGGUUAGCUAAUCCUGGUCGGACAUCAGGAGGUUAGUGCAAUGGCAUAAGCUAGCUUGACUGCGAGCGUGACGGCGCGAGCAGGUGCGAAAGCAGGUCAUAGUGAUCCGGUGGUUCUGAAUGGAAGGGCCAUCGCUCAACGGAUAAAAGGUACUCCGGGGAUAACAGGCUGAUACCGCCCAAGAGUUCAUAUCGACGGCGGUGUUUGGCACCUCGAUGUCGGCUCAUCACAUCCUGGGGCUGAAGUAGGUCCCAAGGGUAUGGCUGUUCGCCAUUUAAAGUGGUACGCGAGCUGGGUUUAGAACGUCGUGAGACAGUUCGGUCCCUAUCUGCCGUGGGCGCUGGAGAAUUGAGGGGGGCUGCUCCUAGUACGAGAGGACCGGAGUGGACGCAUCACUGGUGUUCGGGUUGUCAUGCCAAUGGCACUGCCCGGUAGCUAAAUGCGGAAGAGAUAAGUGCUGAAAGCAUCUAAGCACGAAACUUGCCCCGAGAUGAGUUCUCCCUGAGACUAUAAGUCUCCUGAAGGAACGUUGAAGACGACGACGUUGAUAGGCCGGGUGUGUAAGCGCAGCGAUGCGUUGAGCUAACCGGUACUAAUGAACCGUGAGGCUUAACCUU
RNAcentral lists this ribosomal RNA (2902 nucleotides) under Klebsiella variicola. RNAcentral describes it as "bacterial LSU rRNA". It matches the Rfam family "Bacterial large subunit ribosomal RNA". Lineage: Bacteria; Pseudomonadati; Pseudomonadota; Gammaproteobacteria; Enterobacterales; Enterobacteriaceae. The record is from RNAcentral.